AGACAGCAGUAGCCACGGGAAUACAGAGGGUGCGAGCGUUAAUCGGAUUUACUGGGCGUAAAGCGUGCGUAGGCGGCUUCUUAAGUCGGAUGUGAAAUCCCUGAGCUUAACUUAGGAAUUGCAUUCGAUACUGGGAAGCUAGAGUAUGGGAGAGGAUGGUAGAAUUCCAGGUGUAGCGGUGAAAUGCGUAGAGAUCUGGAGGAAUACCGAUGGCGAAGGCAGCCAUCUGGCCUAAUACUGACGCUGAGGUACGAAAGCAUGGGGAGCAAACAGGAUUAGAUACCCGUGUAGUCCCUGUCUCUUAUAC
Molecule: ribosomal RNA, 307 nt
Filed under: uncultured bacterium
Lineage: Bacteria
Description: partial 16S ribosomal RNA
Rfam family: Bacterial small subunit ribosomal RNA
Source: RNAcentral